GACGAACGCUGGCGGCGUGCCUAAUACAUGCAAGUUGAGCGCUGAAGGUUGGUACUUGUACCAACUGGAUGAGCAGCGAACGGGUGAGUAACGCGUGGGGAAUCUGCCUUUGAGCGGGGGACAAAAUUUGGAAACGAAUGCUAAUACCGCAUAAAAACUUUAAACACAAGUUUUAAGUUUGAAAGAUGCAAUUGCAUCACUCAAAGAUGAUCCCGCGUUGUAUUAGCUAGUUGGUGAGGUAAAGGCUCACCAAGGCGAUGAUACAUAGCCGACCUGAGAGGGUGAUCGGCCACAGUGGGACUGAGACACGGCCCAAACUCCUACGGGAGGCAGCAGUAGGGAAUCUUCGGCAAUGGACGAAAGUCUGACCGAGCAACGCCGCGUGAGUGAAGAAGGUUUUCGGAUCGUAAAACUCUGUUGGUAGAGAAGAACGUUGGUGAGAGUGGAAAGCUCAUCAAGUGACGGUAACUACCCAGAAAGGGACGGCUAACUACGUG
RNAcentral lists this ribosomal RNA (497 nucleotides) under uncultured bacterium. Its description in RNAcentral is "partial 16S ribosomal RNA". It matches the Rfam family "Bacterial small subunit ribosomal RNA", at positions 28 to 507 of the family's 1533-position model. The record is from RNAcentral.